UACGUAGGGCGCAAGCGUUAUCCGGAAUUAUUGGGCGUAAAGCGCUCGUAGGCGGUUUGUCGCGUCUGCCGUGAAAGUCCGGGGCUCAACUCCGGAUCUGCGGUGGGUACGGGCAGACUAGAGUGAUGUAGGGGAGACUGGAAUUCCUGGUGUAGCGGUGAAAUGCGCAGAUAUCAGGAGGAACACCGAUGGCGAAGGCAGGUCUCUGGGCAUGAACUGACGCUGAGGAGCGAAAGCAUGGGGAGCGAACAGG
Molecule: ribosomal RNA, 253 nt
Filed under: uncultured bacterium
Lineage: Bacteria
Description: partial 16S ribosomal RNA
Rfam family: Bacterial small subunit ribosomal RNA
Source: RNAcentral